Molecule: ribosomal RNA, 433 nt
Filed under: uncultured bacterium
Lineage: Bacteria
Description: partial 16S ribosomal RNA
Rfam family: Bacterial small subunit ribosomal RNA
Source: RNAcentral
AACGAACGCUGGCGGCAUGCCUAACACAUGCAAGUCGAACGAGCCCACCGGGACUUGUGGCGCACGAGUGCGUAACGCGUGGGAACCUUACCUUAGGUUCGGAAUAACUCUCCGACAGGGGUGCCAAUACCGGAUAAUGUCUUAUGACCAAAGAUUUAUCGCGUUUGGAUGGUCCCGCGUUGGAUUAGCUAGUGGGUAGGGUAAAAGACUACUACGGCGACGAUUCAUAGAUGGUCUGAGAGAAUGAUCAGCCACACUGGGACUGAGACACGGCCGAGACUCCUACGGGAGGCAGCAGUGGGGAAUAUUGGAAAGUGGGCGGAAGCAUGAUGCAGCAAUGACGGGUGAGUGAUGAAGGCAUUAGAGUUGUAAAGCUCUUUUACCCGGGAUGAUAAUGACAGUACCGGGAGAAAAAGCCACGGCUAACUCCGUG